This 253-nucleotide unclassified non-coding RNA is filed under the name uncultured Frankiales bacterium. Its description in RNAcentral is "contains 16S-23S intergenic spacer region". It matches the Rfam family "Bacterial small subunit ribosomal RNA", at positions 524 to 776 of the family's 1533-position model. Lineage: Bacteria; Bacillati; Actinomycetota; Actinomycetes; Frankiales. The record is from RNAcentral.
CACGUAGGGCGCAAGCGUUGUCCGGAAUUAUUGGGCGUAAAGAGCUCGUAGGCGGACUGUCACGUCUGCUGUGAAAAGCUGGGGCUUAACCCUGGCCUUGCAGUGGAUACGGGCAGACUAGAGGUAGGUAGGGGAGAAUGGAAUUCCCGGUGUAGCGGUGAAAUGCGCAGAUAUCGGGAGGAACGCCGGUGGCGAAGGCGGUUCUCUGGGCCUUACCUGACGCUGGGGAGCGAAAGCGUGGGGAGCGAACAGG